This 369-nucleotide ribosomal RNA is filed under the name uncultured Latescibacterota bacterium. RNAcentral describes it as "bacterial SSU rRNA". It matches the Rfam family "Bacterial small subunit ribosomal RNA", at positions 1013 to 1382 of the family's 1533-position model. Lineage: Bacteria; Pseudomonadati; Candidatus Latescibacterota. The record is from RNAcentral.
UCUUCCGGUAGGCGACCUGCACAGGUGCUGCAUGGCUGUCGUCAGCUCGUGUCGUGAGAUGUUGGGUUAAGUCCCGCAACGAGCGCAACCCUUAUCCCUAGUUGCCAUCAGGUAAAGCUGGGAACUCUGGGGAGACUGCCGGUGAUAAACCGGAGGAAGGCGGGGAUGACGUCAAGUCCUCAUGGCCCUUACAUCCCGGGCUACACACGUGCUACAAUGGCAGGUACAGAGGGCUGCGAAGCCGCGAGGUGGAGCGAAUCCCAGAAAACCUGUCUCAGUCCGGAUUGAAGUCUGCAACUCGACUUCAUGAAGGCGGAAUCGCUAGUAACCGCGAAUCAGCAGGUCGCGGUGAAUACGUUCCCGGGCCUU